Molecule: long non-coding RNA, 1976 nt
Organism: Oryctolagus cuniculus (rabbit)
Lineage: Eukaryota; Metazoa; Chordata; Mammalia; Lagomorpha; Leporidae
Source: Ensembl
GCUCCACCCACCCCUCCAUCUCCAUCAGAGGCCUCGUGAAUCCUGGGGAAGCCAUGAGCUGCCACAUCACGCCUGGAAGGAAGCAGGCUGCGUUGGAGGCCCGCCUCCCUCACCAAGACGAUGGCGACAUGAGGCUCUGGAAGAAGGAUGGCUUCCCAAGGACCACAGCAGGCAAGCUGCAGGACAAAGAUGACCCUCUGGGCUCCUUACAUCCAGGACAUGUCCCAUCUUCCAAGCGAUCCGACUACCUGUGGCUGCCAUGGGCAGAGGCGAAGUUCUCGGGAAGCCCUGGGCAGGCUCGAUCAGCUGAGAGACUGAGUCUCCUCCCAACCUCAAUUCCCCAGCCCUUGGAUCAGCUCUAGGGAGACAUUAGAAGAACUGGGGAAACCCCAACAGUCAGGGCAUCAGCAGCUUACAGCCUUGGAGCACGAGAAAGAACAUCUUCCUCCAGCAAGUGACAAAGGAGGACACACCCAGGCCCCAGGAUGCAAUCAGCUACUUCAGAGAGGCUCUUUGGGGGCCCCCCAGCUCUGCACAGACCCCUGGACAUCUCUGUCUCUUCCCAAUGGAUCCAGAUCCCUUCAUCCAGGAAAACCACACCCUGGAUGUUUGUGGCUGCCCUGAAAUUGGAUGUUGUGAGGGUCUGACGCUUCGAAGCAGCACAGAUCGUAUCUGUCGUUUGAUGCACGUUCCUGCAAAGGCCCUUUCCAGACACUCCUCAAUAGUUUCUGCAAAUGCUGCCCGAAGCCCGCUGGUGAGCAGACACCACAUAUCCACCUUCCUCUCAGCCUCACACCCAGUGCCACGCCGCUUCCACCCUCUCCACGUCCCCGCGGCGAGGACCUGCAGAGGACCUGUUUGCCUCGUACACAGCAAGGCCGAUGCUUGUGUGUGGGCGUGCACACACGUCCCCAAGAGGACAGGCGCAGCGUCAUGUGGAGACGGGAACAAGGAUCCCGUCCAGCUGGAGGGCUGAGCUCAUUUGACCUUGGAGUGCCCAGUGUGGAGAGAGAGGUGGGGGAGGAGAAACAGUCGAGAAGUGCUGUCAGAUUGCAGCCUCUUCUGUGCAGCUUUUAGAACAAAGCGUGCGAGAGAAGAAGGAGCUUUUGAUUUGGAAUUUUCUAUGAGGUCAGGGGCCUGUGAGGAAGACACACCCGGGAGAAGCUGGUCUCAGUAGGGGAAGGAAGAAAGCCUCAGGUCCUUGGAUUUGACCUUCCCAGGGCAACUAAGGGUCAGAACAAUUUGCUGAUGCAAAGGAAGUUAUGUGUGCGUGGGUCUGUGUGUGUAAAAAAAAAAGGUGGGGGGAGGGACAGGCAGGGAGGAGAAAGGACAGAGGAAGAGGCGGGAGGCCUCCGUUUGAAAGGGGUCUGCCCGGAAGCCCAGAGCAAGGGACAUGCCUGAGGAAUGGAUAACUUAAGAGAGGGGAACAGGAGUCCGGUCUGAGGAGUGAGCAGGGAGAAGAAGGAAUCCAGCAGACACGUGAGGGAGAGGCAGGAGCAGCCCUGAGCCAGGCCUGCUGUGGGGCUGGGCUGGCCUGGCUGUGAGCACAGCCGGGCUUGGGGGAGGCCGCCCAGCUCAUCUGUUACUUACGAACACAAGCUCAGCCUCAAACCUGAUUAGCAGGAAUUAGGUGGCAUAUGGCUAAUCCUCCCUGCCACAGUUAUUAAUACUUUUCAGACUCUGCAGAGGGAGUCCGGAGGCUUCUCCCUGGCUGGCAUCUGGGUGCAGGCAGGACAAGGCUCGGCACCUGCUGUGGGAGGGGCUCUAGCCCCGAGGAGAACAAGGGGGUGGUGGAGAGGCAGAAGUGGCUGGAAAGCUUUCUUUGAGGCCUUGAAGAGACUCCUAAUCCUUCACAAGUGUCUGCCACAGGCUUUUCUUUCUUCCAAAAUACCCCUGGAUCUCUCAUUCCAUUUAGAAAACUGGUGAGAGAGGGGAAUAUACGAUAUCCGAAAGAAGUGAAAGGGUUUAACCAAGGA